RNAcentral lists this long non-coding RNA (281 nucleotides) under Elaeis guineensis (African oil palm). Its description in RNAcentral is "long non-coding RNA (EGUI_LNC048277)". Lineage: Eukaryota; Viridiplantae; Streptophyta; Magnoliopsida; Arecales; Arecaceae. The record is from RNAcentral.
UGGAUUGAUUACUGUCCUUCGUGAUGAUCCUUUGAUCGAGAGUAUUUAAAAAUUAACCACUAAUAAUGUAUAUCUCAAAUUCUCAACAUCUUAAGAAUAUAUAAAAUCAUCUUUAUUAAUUUUUAGGAUAAGUCAUGGACACAUAAACAUGAUUGGUUAUUAAGACUAUCCAACAAGUAUAAAACAUGCCUUAGAGAAAAGUAUGUGCCAGCCAAGACUGGCUUCUAGGGCACACAUCCAACAAACUCUCACUUGCACUAAAGCCAAUCUACCAUAUACCU